GCCGGUCCUCGGUCGUGGUCGCCGGGAUGGGUACGGGCACCGGACCCGGGGACUUCGACUGAGCACCGGC
Non-coding RNA from Frankia casuarinae, 70 nucleotides. Lineage: Bacteria; Bacillati; Actinomycetota; Actinomycetes; Frankiales; Frankiaceae. The record is from Rfam.